CAAUCGACUUCAAACUUAGUACACAUGUCCCUAUGAUAUGAUCUUUCUAAUUUUAAUGCCAAAUUAGAGUUUUUACCCCAAUUUCACGGUCCACUGAACAUGGAAAAUGAUAGUGCGAGUGGGGCAUUCGUGUACUGAAGACACAUUCUUGUUUUGAGAGGAUUAAUAUUCAACAGCAUAGUGAAUUGCUCUAAGAGAAAACAAAAAUUUUAAGUUCAUUAGAACACAUUCAUUCUGUGUCAGAAACCUAUGCUGUGUCAACUAUUUAAUCACAAUCCAAAUUUAGAGCUGAAUCCAGCUUGAAUGUUGUGUCCAUACUUGCCCCAACCGUUCAGGGUUCAACCUCUGCGGUCGUAUAAAGCUACGCCCUGCGGAGCAUCUGGUUUAAUAAGUGCACAAUCUUUGAGAAUGAUUUAAAUAACCAAUGAAGGAUAUCCCUGCUUAUGCGUAGUGUGGCAUUGAACCCAUUCCAACAAUGACGUCACUAUAAAAUAUAAUGUAGGUUGGAUAUAUUUAAAAUAUCUCGUCAUACUGAUUUUUCCGGAUUGUAAAAGAAACGUAAAUAGUGUAAAGGAGAGCUCAUUAUACGAUAAUUUCGAGAGAAACAGAAGGGAAAUGUGUAAAAAAGUGUUCAAAGUCAAUUUAUUCAUUUGUGUCUCCCCAUCUCAUCAUUCUCAGUAAGAUUUGUUGGGGGGUUUUCCACACUAUAAAAACAAAAUGAAUGAUGUGAGGGAAUGUCACUCUGG
This 746-nucleotide long non-coding RNA is filed under the name Mytilus galloprovincialis (Mediterranean mussel). The record is from RNAcentral. Lineage: Eukaryota; Metazoa; Mollusca; Bivalvia; Mytilida; Mytilidae.